RNAcentral lists this non-coding RNA (184 nucleotides) under Clostridiales bacterium. Its description in RNAcentral is "6S RNA". It matches the Rfam family "6S / SsrS RNA". Rfam says of the family: E. coli 6S RNA was the first non coding RNA to be sequenced, but its function was unknown until recently. It consists of 184 nucleotides that fold into an extended hairpin structure with a large single-stranded internal bulge. The 6S RNA specifically associates with RNA polymerase holoenzyme containing the sigma70 specificity factor. Lineage: Bacteria; Bacillati; Bacillota; Clostridia; Eubacteriales. The record is from RNAcentral.
UAAACCCUACAUGGUACGAAUUGUGUUAUUUUUAGAACCUACAAGUUUCUAAAAGGGAGAGUCUCCUUUUAAUAUGGCGUGCAUAACUUGUUUACAUUUUAUCCCAGAAGUAUUAAAGCACUCACCCACCUGUCAAGACAGGUCCUUAAAAAGACACUCGAAAAGCGGCCAAUGUGGGGUUUAU